AACGAACGCUGGCGGCAGGCUUAACACAUGCAAGUCGAACGCUCCGCAAGGAGAGUGGCAGACGGGUGAGUAACGCGUGGGAAUCUACCUAGUUCUACGGAACAACACAGGGAAACUUGUGCUAAUACCGUAUACGCCCUACGGGGGAAAGAUUUAUCGGAAUUAGAUGAGCCCGCGUAAGAUUAGCUAGUUGGUGGGGUAAUGGCCUACCAAGGCGACGAUCUUUAGCUGGUCUGAGAGGAUGAUCAGCCACACUGGGACUGAGACACGGCCCAGACUCCUACGGGAGGCAGCAGUGGGGAAUAUUGGACAAUGGGCGCAAGCCUGAUCCAGCCAUGCCGCGUGAGUGAUGAAGGCCUUAGGGUUGUAAAGCUCUUUCAGUGGGGAAGAUAAUGACGGUACCCACAGAAGAAGCCCCGGCUAACUUCGUGC
This 432-nucleotide ribosomal RNA is filed under the name uncultured bacterium. RNAcentral describes it as "bacterial SSU rRNA". It matches the Rfam family "Bacterial small subunit ribosomal RNA", at positions 29 to 508 of the family's 1533-position model. The record is from RNAcentral.